RNAcentral lists this ribosomal RNA (465 nucleotides) under uncultured bacterium. RNAcentral describes it as "partial 16S ribosomal RNA". It matches the Rfam family "Bacterial small subunit ribosomal RNA", at positions 28 to 507 of the family's 1533-position model. The record is from RNAcentral.
GACGAACGCUGGCGGCGUGCUUAACACAUGCAAGUCGUACGGUAAGGCCCUUUCGGGGGUACCCGAGUGGCGAACGGGUGAGUAACACGUGAGUAACCUGCCCACAACUUUGGGAUAACGCUAGGAAACUGGUGCUAAUACUGGAUAUGUGCUCCUGCUGCAUGGUGGGGGUUGGAAAGCUCCGGCGGUUGUGGAUGGACUCGCGGCCUAUCAGCUUGUUGGUGGGGUAGUGGCCUACCAAGGCGGCGACGGGUAGCCGGCCUGAGAGGGUGACCGGCCACAUUGGGACUGAGAUACGGCCCAGACUCCUACGGGAGGCAGCGGUGGGGAAUAUUGCACAAUGGGCGCAAGCCUGAUGCAGCAACGCCGCGUGCGGGAUGACGGCCUUCGGGUUGUAAACCGCUUUCAGCAGGGACGAAGCUUUUUGUGACGGUACCUGCAGAAGAAGCACCGGCUAACUACGUG